RNAcentral lists this ribosomal RNA (301 nucleotides) under uncultured bacterium. Its description in RNAcentral is "partial 16S ribosomal RNA". It matches the Rfam family "Bacterial small subunit ribosomal RNA", at positions 509 to 807 of the family's 1533-position model. The record is from RNAcentral.
CAGUCGCCGCGGUAAAACAGAGGGUGCAAGCGUUAAUCGGAAUUACUGGGCGUAAAGCGCGCGUAGGUGGUUCGCCAAGUUGGAUGUGAAAUCCCCGGGCUCAACCUGGGAACUGCAUCCAAAACUGGCGAGCUAGAGUAUGGUAGAGGGUGGUGGAAUUUCCUGUGUAGCGGUGAAAUGCGUAGAUAUAGGAAGGAACAUCAGUGGCGAAGGCGACCACCUGGACUGAUACUGACACUGAGGUGCGAAAGCGUGGGGAGCAAACAGGAUUAGAUACCCCAGUAGUCCCUGUCUCUUAUAC